Molecule: ribosomal RNA, 430 nt
Filed under: uncultured bacterium
Lineage: Bacteria
Description: partial 16S ribosomal RNA
Rfam family: Bacterial small subunit ribosomal RNA
Source: RNAcentral
GUGGGGAAUAUUGCACAAUGGGCGCAAGCCUGAUGCAGCAACGCCGCGUGAGGGAUGACGGCCUUCGGGUUGUAAACCUCUUUUAGUAGGGAAGAAGCGAAAGUGACGGUACCUGCAGAAAAAGCACCGGCUAACUACGUGCCAGCAGCCGCGGUAAUACGUAGGGUGCAAGCGUUGUCCGGAAUUAUUGGGCGUAAAGAGCUCGUAGGCGGCUUGUCGCGUCUGCUGUGAAAACCCGAGGCUCAACCUCGGGCCUGCAGUGGGUAAGGGCAGGCUAGAGUGCGGUAGGGGAGAUUGGAAUUCCUGGUGUAGCGGUGGAAUGCGCAGAUAUCAGGAGGAACACCGAUGGCGAAGGCAGAUCUCUGGGCCGUAACUGACGCUGAGGAGCGAAAGCAUGGGGAGCGAACAGGAUUAGAAACCCGAGUAGUCC